Long non-coding RNA from Cynoglossus semilaevis (tongue sole), 1810 nucleotides. RefSeq lists it as uncharacterized. The transcript is spliced from 3 exons. Lineage: Eukaryota; Metazoa; Chordata; Actinopteri; Pleuronectiformes; Cynoglossidae. The record is from RefSeq and is a predicted model, not a curated record.
UUGGCCUAUCAGUAACAGGCGCCUCCUCCAAUGGCUGUGUCUUCAUAAGUAAGGACACAUUGUUAGAUCUGUCUGUCUGUUAUCAAAACAGUACCAGCACAUCAUGAACACUCAGUGUUCUGAUAAGAGAAAACAUCUCUAUCCAUAUAGUGGAUUGAACCUGCUGCUGAAUGUGCGUGAGAUUCAAACCUGUCAAACUUGAAUCAUUUAUUACAAAAACCUGACAGAAAACAAAUGUUCUUCAUCCAGCAGUAUGUGCCGCCCUGUCUGUGAGCGUCUAUUGUUGUUGGAAAACAUUCAGUUCAUCCCCAACUUCAUUAGAACUUUAAUCAAAGUCUGGCACGACUUUGAUUAAACACAGGGUAAGGACACGUGUCGCUCAUUGAUUAAGAGGCAUGUGUUUGAUUCUGGCACACUGUGGGACAAUACUGCACAAAUCAAAUUAUUUUUCUUAAAUGUUUCCUCUUGAUAAAUUAGUCUAUAAAACAACAAAGUGUAACUUUCUCAACGGUUCUGUCUUUUAAAGUGUCCUUUAAUUUAAUAUAAGUUCCAAAUCUUGGCACCCCGUGAGUCACGUUCAGGCUUUUUCAAACAUCAUUAUGUGUUAGCUCAUGCCUGAAGUACUAAUUAUGGAUAAUGAGGAUUGUCAUUCAAAUUAGAGAACAAUGAUGGGGACUAGACCCCGCCCCCUUUCCUUCGUUCCUGUCACUUUUCUAAAAAGAAAAAGAAAAGAAAAGAAAACCUAAUUAAUUAUCAGUAAUGGUGACUCAUCAUUUAGGGUUGAAGUUUGUCUAUAGUCUUAUUCAUGUGUCACGUUUCAAAGUCCGGCACUAUUACAAAUUCUUCUGUCUCCUCCAUGUCGGUCCAACACUUUAAACUUCUAGAAACAUGUGGAAACAGUUUAAGAAACGGGAGAACUAUGUUGGCAGAAUAUCUAGGCAAAUUAGUUAAAAGCUUCUUUGGAAAACAAUUUACAACAACAACAUAAAAAUGACAAAAAACAAAAAAACAAAAAAACGAGCCUUUAAAUGCGUAUCAUUUUGCCAUAGCUUUUAUUUAAUGGCAACUCUAACAACGUCAUCCUACCGGAAGUCAAGGCGAUAACUUAUAUUUUUUAUCUUUUAACCACUCUGGACGUUUUCAGUAAAGUAUCAUGCAACACUGACACCUAGUGGGUCUACAUUGUCACGGUUUUUACGGAAGAAUACUAGCUUCAUUGUGUGAAAAGGUUAUGUUGUUUCUGAGAGUGGUUGUCAUGGAGGGGGAGCUGGAGCGCCAUCUGAAGGCUGUGCCGUUUGUCCGCCUCCUGCUGGAGGAGCUCUCCCGCUCGGCUGCCGAGGUUCUUUCCAGGGCCAUUUUAUUGACGCACUUAAUCCUUUUUGGAGUCUGAGAGGAAGUGGGAGUCAAUCCAAGCAGUCGGUGAGGGAAAAAAUGGACAACUCCUCAUACAACACAGGGCAACACAUGAAAAAAGAAAACUAUUUACACUCACGCACCACCAUCAUAUUUGAAUUUUUUUAAUGAUCAUACAGUGUCAGACGAGAACACUCACCACGCGUGUAUACUUUUUCACCUCAGUUAAUGAAUUUAUGUAAAUAAAAAUGUCAAUGUUUGUCAUAGAAAUAUGUUAAUAGUGCAAUAUGUUUUAAAUAAAUAUAUACAUCUGCAGACAGCUGCGCAAAAGUUCUAAUGUAAAUAUACAGUUGGUGAGUGUAAACACAGCUAACCUUUUCACUGCUAUAUGAAUUCAUCCCUUCUUGUGUAAUUUCUCUAGUCUUAUCUGUUGCGUUUGAAUUUAUUCUUAGAAAGC